This 918-nucleotide ribosomal RNA is filed under the name Triticum aestivum (bread wheat). Its description in RNAcentral is "partial small subunit ribosomal RNA". The record is from RNAcentral. Lineage: Eukaryota; Viridiplantae; Streptophyta; Magnoliopsida; Poales; Poaceae.
AUGCUCUCUCAAGGUUUCAAAAGGUCUAAUUAUGAUAGUUGUGUUUAUUUGAAAACUGUCAAUGGUUCAACUAUUUAUUUGCUCCUUUAUGUUGAUGAUAUGCUUAUUGCUGCAAAGAGUAUGUCAGAUAUUAAUGAACUAAAGAAGCAAUUGAGUAAUGAAUUUGAGAUGAAGGAUUUGGGUGCAGCAAAGAAAAUACUUGGCAUGGAAAUAUCUAGAGAUAGACCAUCUGGAAAAGUAUAUCUAAGUCAGAGAGCAUAUAUUGAUAAAGUUCUUCGUCAUUUUAAUAUGCAUAAUGCCAAGCCAGUAAGUACUCCGUUAGCUGCACACUUCAAAUUAUCAUCAGCCUUAUGUCCUAAGUCAGAUGCAGAUAUUGAGUACAUGUCUAGAGUUCCCUAUUCGAGUGCAGUUGGUUCACUUAUGUAUGCCAUGGUUUUUUCUCGUCCUGAUUUAUCAUAUGCAUUGAGUGUUGUCAGUAGAUACAUGGCUAAUCCUGGAAAAGAGCAUUGGAAAGCAGUUCAGUGGAUUUUCAUAUACCUGCGUGGUACUUCCAAUGCUUAUUUACAGUUUGGGAAAACUAUAGAUGGACUUGUUGGUUUUUUUGAUUCUGAUUUUGCUGGUGAUUUGGAUAAGAGAAGAUCACUCACAGGUUAUGUUUUCACCAUUGGUGGUUGUGCUGUGAGUUGGAGAGCAACUUUGCAGUCUAUUGUGGCUUGUUCCACUACUGAUGCUGAGUAUAUGGCUAUUUCUGAGGCAUGCAAAGAAGCUAUCUGGUUGAGAGGUUUGUACACUGAGCUUUGUGGAGACUCAUCUUGCCCUACCGUAUUUAGUGACAGUCAAAGUGCUAUAUAUCUUACAAAGAAUCCAAUGUAUCAUGAGAGAACAAAGCACAUUGAUGUCAGAUUUCAUUAUAUUUGA